AACGAACGCUGGCGGCAUGCCUAGCACAUGCAGGUCGAACGAUCCCUUCGGGGAUAGUGGCGCACGGGUGCGUAACGCGUGGGAACCUGCCCUUAGGUUCGGAAUAACUCAGAGAAAUUUGAGCUAAUACCGGAUAAUGUCUUCGGACCAAAGAUUUAUCGCCUUUGGAUGGGCCCGCGUUGGAUUAGCUAGUUGGUGGGGUAAAGGCCUACCAAGGCGACGAUCCAUAGCUGGUCUGAGAGGAUGAUCAGCCACACUGGGACUGAGACACGGCCCAGACUCCUACGGGAGGCAGCAGUGGGGAAUAUUGGACAAUGGGCGAAAGCCUGAUCCAGCAAUGCCGCGUGAGUGAUGAAGGCCUUAGGGUUGUAAAGCUCUUUUACCCGGGAUGAUAAUGACAGUACCGGGAGAAUAAGCCCCGGCUAACUCCGUG
This 433-nucleotide ribosomal RNA is filed under the name uncultured bacterium. Its description in RNAcentral is "partial 16S ribosomal RNA". It matches the Rfam family "Bacterial small subunit ribosomal RNA", at positions 29 to 507 of the family's 1533-position model. The record is from RNAcentral.